AUGGACGAAAGUCUGAUGGAGCAACGCCGCGUGAGUGAUGAAGGUUUUCGGAUCGUAAAACUCUGUUGUAAGGGAAGAACAAGUGCGUUAGGUAAUGAACGCACCUUGACGGUACCUUAUUAGAAAGCCACGGCUAACUACGUGCCAGCAGCCGCGGUAAUACGUAGGUGGCAAGCGUUGUCCGGAUUUAUUGGGCGUAAAGCGCGCGCAGGUGGUUUCUUAAGUCUGAUGUGAAAGCCCACGGCUCAACCGUGGAGGGUCAUUGGAAACUGGGGAACUUGAGUGCAGAAGAGGAUAGUGGAAUUCCAAGUGUAGCGGUGAAAUGCGUAGAGAUUUGGAGGAACACCAGUGGCGAAGGCGACUGUCUGGUCUGUAACUGACACUGAGGCGCGAAAGCGUGGGGAGCAAACAGGAUUAGAUACCCUGGUAGUCCACGCCGUAAACGAUGAGUGCUAAGUGUNAGGGGGUNUCCGCCCCUUAGUGCUGCAGCUAACGCAUNAAGCACUCCGCCUGGGGAGUACGACCGC
Molecule: ribosomal RNA, 527 nt
Filed under: bacterium T-1-0-10A
Lineage: Bacteria
Description: bacterial SSU rRNA
Rfam family: Bacterial small subunit ribosomal RNA
Source: RNAcentral